UAGGGAAUCUUCGGCAAUGGACGGAAGUCUGACCGAGCAACGCCGCGUGAGUGAAGAAGGUUUUCGGAUCGUAAAGCUCUGUUGUAAGAGAAGAACGAGUGUGAGAGUGGAAAGUUCACACUGUGACGGUAUCUUACCAGAAAGGGACGGCUAACUACGUGCCAGCAGCCGCGGUAAUACGUAGGUCCCAAGCGUUGUCCGGAUUUAUUGGGCGUAAAGCGAGCGCAGGCGGUUAGAUAAGUCUGAAGUUAAAGGCUGUGGCUUAACCAUAGUACGCUUUGGAAACUGUUUAACUUGAGUGCAAGAGGGGAGAGUGGAAUUCCAUGUGUAGCGGUGAAAUGCGUAGAUAUAUGGAGGAACACCGGUGGCGAAAGCGGCUCUCUGGCUUGUAACUGACGCUGAGGCUCGAAAGCGUGGGGAGCAAACAGGAUUAGAUACCCUGGUAGUCCACGCCGUAAACGAUGAGUGCUAGGUGUUAGACCCUUUCCGGGGUUUAGUGCCGUAGCUAACGCAUUAAGCACUCCGCCUGGGGAGUACGACCGCAAGGUUG
This 550-nucleotide ribosomal RNA is filed under the name uncultured bacterium. RNAcentral describes it as "bacterial SSU rRNA". It matches the Rfam family "Bacterial small subunit ribosomal RNA", at positions 355 to 896 of the family's 1533-position model. The record is from RNAcentral.